Molecule: ribosomal RNA, 274 nt
Filed under: uncultured bacterium
Lineage: Bacteria
Description: partial 16S ribosomal RNA
Rfam family: Bacterial small subunit ribosomal RNA
Source: RNAcentral
AUACGGAGGGUGCAAGAGUUACUCGGAAUCACUGGGCGUAAAGCGCGCGCAGGCGGGCUGAUAAGUUGGAUGUGAAAGCCUACGGCCCAACCGUAGAACUGCAUCCAAAACUGUCAGUCUAGAGUCUGGGAGGGGAAGAUGGAAUUAGUUGUGUAGGGGUAAAAUCCGUAGAGAUAACUAGGAAUACCAAAAGCGAAGGCGAUCUUCUGGAACAGUACUGACGCUGAGGCGCGAAAGCGUGGGGAGCAAACAGGAUUAGAAACCCUAGUAGUCC